UGAGUGAUGAGGAAGAGGAUGAUGAUGGCUGUGACCUUUUUGCUGACUCUGAGAAGGAGGAGAAAGAUAUUGAGGACAUUGAAGAAAAUACUAGACCUAAAAGAAGCAGACCUACAUCGUUUGCAGAUGAGCUGGCUGCCCGCAUCAAGGGGGAUGCCGUGGGCCGAGUGGACGAGGAGCCGACAAAUGAAGAGGAUAACUUAUUCGCACCCCCCAAGCUGACCGACGAGGACUUCUCGCCAUUUGGCUCUGGAGGUGGCCUGUUCAGUGGGGGCAAGGGGCUCUUUGAUGAUGAGGACGAGGAGAGUGACCUCUUCACGGAAGCCCCCCAGGAUCGGCAAGCUGGAGCCUCUGUUAAGGAGGAGUCUUCAUCAUCCAAACCUGGAAAGAAAAUCCUAGCAGGAGCUGUUUCUGUAUUUUUAGGAGACACGGAUGUGCUGCCUCCGUUCCAUCACUGAAGGAGCCACAGAAGCCUGAGCAGCCCACUCCAAGGAAAAGCCCCUAUGGUCCCCCUCCCACUGGCCUGUUUGAUGAUGAUGAUGGUGAUGAUGAUAACGACUUUUUC
RNAcentral lists this long non-coding RNA (565 nucleotides) under Homo sapiens (human). RNAcentral describes it as "non-protein coding lnc-ZFAND4-2:3". The record is from RNAcentral. Lineage: Eukaryota; Metazoa; Chordata; Mammalia; Primates; Hominidae.